UGGGAAUUUUGGACAAUGGGCGCAAGCCUGAUCCAGCCAUGCCGCGUGCGGGAAGAAGGCCUUCGGGUUGUAAACCGCUUUUGUCAGGGAAGAAAUCUUCUGAGUUAAUACCUCGGGAGGAUGACGGUACCUGAAGAAUAAGCACCGGCUAACUACGUGCCAGCAGCCGCGGUAAUACGUAGGGUGCAAGCGUUAAUCGGAAUUACUGGGCGUAAAGCGUGCGCAGGCGGUUUUGUAAGACAGAGGUGAAAUCCCCGGGCUCAACCUGGGAACUGCCUUUGUGACUGCAAGGCUUGAGUGCGGCAGAGGGGGGAUGGAAUUCCGCGUGUAGCAGUGAAAUGCGUAGAUAUGCGGAGGAACACCGAUGGCGAAGGCAAUCCCCUGGGCCUGCACUGACGCUCAUGCACGAAAGCGUGGGGAGCAAACAGGAUUAGAUAGCCCUGGUAGUCCACGCCCUAAACGAUGUCAACUGGUUGUUGGGAAGGUUCCUUCUCAGUAACGUAGCUAACGCGUG
RNAcentral lists this ribosomal RNA (514 nucleotides) under uncultured bacterium. RNAcentral's name for it is "partial 16S ribosomal RNA". It matches the Rfam family "Bacterial small subunit ribosomal RNA", at positions 356 to 861 of the family's 1533-position model. The record is from RNAcentral.